CCUACGGGGGGCAGCAGUGGGGGAUAUUGCACAAUGAGGGAAACCCUGAUGCAGCGACGCCGCGUGCGUGAUGAAGUAUUUCGGUAUGUAAAGCUCUAUCAGCAGGGAAGAAAAUGACAGUACCUGACCAAGAAGCCCCGGCUAACUACGUGCCAGCAGCCGCGGUAAUACGUAGGGGGCAAGCGUUAUCCGGAUUUGCUGGGGGUAAAGGGAUCGUUGACGGUUAUGUGAGGCUGGUGGGAAAGCCCGGGGGCCAAACCCGGGAGUGCUUUGGAAACUAGGUAACUGGAGUACAGGAGGGGCAAGCGGAAUUCCAGGUGUAGCGGUGAAAUGCGUAGAUAUAAGGAGGAACACCGGCGGCGAAGGCGGCCUGCUGGACUGAAACUGACGUUGAGGCUCGAAAGCGUGGGGAGCAAACAGGAUUAGAUACCCUGGUAGUC
RNAcentral lists this ribosomal RNA (440 nucleotides) under uncultured bacterium. RNAcentral's name for it is "partial 16S ribosomal RNA". It matches the Rfam family "Bacterial small subunit ribosomal RNA", at positions 338 to 795 of the family's 1533-position model. The record is from RNAcentral.